RNAcentral lists this ribosomal RNA (233 nucleotides) under uncultured bacterium. RNAcentral describes it as "partial 16S ribosomal RNA". It matches the Rfam family "Bacterial small subunit ribosomal RNA", at positions 1268 to 1500 of the family's 1533-position model. The record is from RNAcentral.
CGAAUCCCAAAAAUAACGUCCCAGUUCGGACUGUAGUCUGCAACUCGACUACAUGAAGCUGGAAUCGCUAGUAAUCGCGAAUCAGCAUGUCGCGGUGAAUACGUUCCCGGGUCUUGUACACACCGCCCGUCACACCAUGGGAGUCGGAAAUGCCCGAAGCCAGUGACCCAACCAUAAGGAGGGAGCUGUCGAAGGUGGAGCCGGUGACUGGGGUGAAGUCGUAACAAGGUAUC